UACGUAGGGGGCUAGCGUUGUCCGGAAUCAUUGGGCGUAAAGCGCGUGUAGGCGGCCAGGUAGGUCCGCUGUGAAAACCUGAGGCUCAACCUCGGGACGUCGGCGGAAACCAUCUGGCUAGAGUCCGGAAGAGGAGAGUGGAAUUCCCGGUGUAGCGGUGAAAUGCGCAGAUAUCGGGAAGAACACCCGUGGCGAAGGCGGCUCUCUGGGACGGUACUGACGCUGAGACGCGAAAGCGUGGGGAGCGAACAGG
RNAcentral lists this ribosomal RNA (253 nucleotides) under uncultured bacterium. RNAcentral describes it as "partial 16S ribosomal RNA". It matches the Rfam family "Bacterial small subunit ribosomal RNA", at positions 524 to 776 of the family's 1533-position model. The record is from RNAcentral.